AAAGCAGCUUGAGCCCAUUUACCUGGGUCCUGUGGAAAAGGCAGUGUUGCUAAAAGUGGGUGCUGAGAAAAGCAAACACUUGGGGGUAAAAACAGGCAAUGAGCUAGUGGAGAGCUGGAUACAGGAGGGAGCCUGGCUUUUGGGGGAUCUGGGCUUCUUUGAAAGAUGGUAUGGAUGGAGAACCAAAUACCUGAAGUGAUCAGUCUUGAGUUGCACACUGUGUGUGGGAGUGGUUCCACAAACCAGCUGAUUGUCACCCGGGCUUCCACCCAUCGGGGUAGAAGAAGCUUUCUCGCCUUUCCAUCUGUUUUCGUGCAGUAGAUGCCAGCUGGAGAACAAGACUGUGACAUCAGCUCUUGCAAAGAGCUCACCAAUCUACUUCCAGCUUGCUGGUUUUGCUAAACAGCGAUGCAGCUGAAACAAUUCCUUGGAGAGGGGAACUGUGGGGUGGAGCGCAUACCCUGUGCCUCUGGAUGCGUAUGGGCUUCUCAGACACUCAGGAACAUCCCUACUUUGUACCUGACCAAGACUUCAGCAAGAAGGGACCAGUGCAGCGAGAGUCUCUUCCAGGUUUUACCCUGUGCCCACCUCUUGCUGGGGGAAGAUUGUGGUGACAGAGUGCAAUUCACUCCCAGGCAUGAGACAUUAAGCUCGGAGUUGUGGAACCCACUGUGGAGUGAGGGCCUUUGGAAGGUGGUUAGAAAGGAGGUUGGAAAGAGAGGGGAUCCUCGGAUCCAGAAGGUGAUGCAAUGAGAGACCCAGUGAUGAUGAUGAUUCCCAGCCUUUGGGAUCAACAGAUUAGGCCAAGUUCCUGGCAUUGAAUCCAGCUGAACCGGCCUUCCUUUUUUCCUGCUGGUAUGUGGCCUAUGUGCCCUGCACCCUGAAGCCCCCUGGGGAACCAUCCUGGGGAAUCCAGCAAGAUGUUUAAUUCUUCACAGCAGAUAGCAUUUGCAUCCUUGGAUGUGCCCUGCAGUCUGAUCCCUCUGGAGAUCCUCAUCUCACCUGCCAAGAGACGGCCUGAAAAAGGACCUUUCCCUCAUCAGAUUAUGAGCUUCUUGGUCAGAAGAGUUUACCUGGACAUGCCUAGAUAAAGGCAACUGCUGACAUUUACAGAUACCUGCCUUGCAAAGCUCAGCACGCCGGCUCUGCCUCUCUCAGCACAUUGCCUGCAGGAAGCUCUUUGAGGAGCGGCUGCAUGGAAGGAGCCAAAGGAAAAGAGAGGAACGCAGUGACCAGGCCUGAAGACUCCAACUGUGAUCAGGCCCUCGUUGUGCAAAGCGCUGCACGCUGGCACGCUAAGGCAGUCUCUUCUCUACGGAGCUUAUGGUCUAAAUUGACACGGGGAAUAUGAUCAUCCCAACUGUACAGGUCAGGAGCUGAGGCACAGAAGACAAAGUGAUUGCCCACAAUCGCACAGCUAGUCGGAGGCAGAGCAAAGAACUGAUCCCCACUCCUCCAAGGUCCAGCCCGAUGCUUUCUAUGCUCGGCUCGAGACAGUGAUAGUGCCUGGUGAUGACUGAGCCAGUACAGCUGAAGGAGGGGCAGUGCCUACUUCUCUUGCAUGCUGACCCCAACAGAGGGGCUGAGAUCCUCACUUCUAGGUUCACCUUUGGGUUCGGUCCCCUUUGCCCUGUUUGGGUGGGCUGAGAUGGUGAGAAGGGAGGUCCAGUUCAGGCCUAAUGCCUCCCCAUCUGAAAGUCAGCACCUUGCACAGGGGUGAGCUCUGUGGUACAGAACCGGCCCAGUGAGACCCCUGUGAAAACUCAUCCUCAUAAGCAACUGGGAAUUGACUUGGGUUCACUUGACAAGCUGCUCCAUAAUCGUGCCAGGGACCUAGAAGCUUAAAACAGUGGAGGCAGUGAAAGAGACUGCUCGGAGACUGAAUACUUCCCCGAGGUCGAUAUGCACUAGCAGGGGCAUUGCGGAGAGGGUAGCACUGAUGCAUCUGGGGCUGUAUCCAUUCUGCAGACUUCACUCACCAGGCCUGUCCUGAGCGAACUCAUUGAUGCACGAGCAUUUCUGCACCUGAGGUUUAACGCCUUGCUGCCACCAAAGAAUCGCACGGGAUAAAUAACGAAGGCAAUGCCUGAGCGAGGAGGGAAGAGGUACUGAGCAAUCGGAGCUCAGUUUUGCAUGGUGCUCUGCCAGCCCAGCUCCAGAGCAAGCAACGGACAUUGCAGACUCUUUGUGUACCACAUGCUGAACCUGUGUCCAACAAAAUCAAUGGGCUGUGGAUGUCCUGGAGACUUGUGCCUUUGGUGAAAGCUAGAUCAGACCUUCCAUCAGCGGAGUAAGCCAGUCAUAGGGAGAGCAAAUGCACAUGCACAGCAAUUCCUCAUCUAAAACCCAUUGCAGUCUAAAGCCUCCCGUUUACUUACGGAGACUCACUGACCCCAGUGGGAAUUUGGAUCAGGCCUGUUGUCCUUGAGCUGCACGGCAGAUGUUAACGUAGAGGACCAGGUAGCUGGGCAGGUUUACAGGCAAGCUGCGCCCUAACUAGGAGAAAAGGUGGCUGUUCAAUCAUGAUUUUUUUCCCUUUCCCAAACACACCUGCCACCUGUGAUAAAUGACCCUUUGGGAAAGAUGAAUGAUUCUAACCUACCAAGGGCUCCCGCACUCAUUGAUUAUGAGAGCUGUUAAACUUUGUGGUGGGAGCAGUUGAGGACUGGAAGUUUGCAAAAGCAGCUGGUGCAUUGUGGAUGUUUGGUUUUGGUUUUUUGUUUUUGAACAGAGCAGCCUGUUUAGACAUCAUUAUAAUCAAAUACCUGCUUUUCACUUUCAUGUUCUUUAUUGCUUUAGUACUUGCAUGCACAUCGGGGUUUAUUUAUUUAUUUCUUUUUAAAGAAAAUAUAUUCACACCUGGUCCCAGUGCCUGUUCCCUACCUGAAGUCAUCUGCUCGCUUUGUAAUAUCACAGUUUCACAGCAGUGGCGAGGCUGCUAAAGGAAUGUGAAGACAGGUAGGGGAACAAAGCAGCUGGAGUGGCACAACUGUUCAGGAUUAAAAUAACUUGUGUGCAAAUAUCCCUAGCAAUAAAGAGCAGAGAGGAGCGUGGCAAGUGCAGGCGGAGGAAGAAUAAACCUGGACCUUGCAUUGAAGGCACAUCCUCAGUGGGAUUUGAACUUGGGCUUUCAGUGCUGACGGCACAAGUGUUUGGCGGUGCACGAAGAGCGGAUCCUUCAGCUGUAUGCAGGCGGUAGGCUGUUGCAAGUGCUGAUGCAAGCUGCUAGAGGCUGACGCAAUCAGAAGUAUUAAGUAUUUGUGCUGUAACAUUUCCAUGAGGACGAACAGCUGAUGAAACUCAGCUUCUGCCAGCAAGGCCUGACCAACAGCCUAGUGCUAGAACCAAGCUAGAUAUAUUUUGGAGAAAUAUUAAAAAAAAAGAAACAUGUCCACUACAAAAAAAAAAAAAGAAAAAAAAAAGAAAAAGAAAAAACAAAAACCAAGAAAUGUUUCUGUUUUUAUAGGGCAAAAUACAGAAAAUUUCUACCCAAAUGAAAGCACUUUGGAGAAUGCACUGGGUGGUUCGUGCUGAGCCUUCUGCAUACUGGUUUGGCAUUGGAAGUUAGUCAGUCUUGCAUUUAAGGGGAUUUUGUUCUGGUCGCUAGCUGGAAAAUUCAUGAUGAGAAAAAGGAGGAGCAGGUGCUUCAUUCCAACUCUCCUGGGAGCUUGGGGCUUGACCCCAGCAUUGCUUUACAGAGACUGCCCAGGGUGGCUAAGGAGAACUUGCUGCAUUCUCAAGUCAGUGGCUCCUGUGGUCUCGGCUUGUAUGGCAGGAGACAGUGUAUUGAAUCGUGUGAACUGGCGACCUAUUCAUAAGAUUUCUUCCAAAAGCAGGGCUCCACUCUGCUGGGCAGCAUCCAUAAAUGCAGCCUCUGUCACAAUCUAAAUAGGAACAACAGGCAAGGGAAGGAUUGCUUCCCUUCUGUUACUGAUAGGGAACCAAGCCACAGGGCUAUCAAGGCAGCUAUGCAGUCAUACAGGGAAUCGGUGGCAGAGUUAUAAGUGGAACUGAAUUCUCCUGAGUCCUUGUUGAGUGCCCCAACAGCAGAGCUCUUCUUCCUCUGUUUCAGGAAAGGGGUGGUGGCGAUAAAUCUUAAUCUCAGUUUAUUUGUUGGGUGCCUGGGUACUCGACGCCUGUACGGUUCCAUCCGUGCUUCCCUAUUUCUUUGCCUCUUCUCCAGCUGAGGUUUAUUGCCAAAACAUGGUUUGCAAAAAAACAGGCGGUCUUUUUCCAUUUAUUUGGUAAUCAUCUUUGAUUUAAUUUCAUGUUUCCCUUUAUUCUUUUCGCUGUGCUUUCCACUCAGGAAUAAUGAUGGCAAUGCGUUGUUAUUACUCCUGUCGGUACAGCUGAUUCCCUUCCUCCCCUUGUCAUUUCCAGUCCUGAUAUUUUUUUUUUUCCCCCUACAUACAAUGACUUCUGCAUUUCAGCUUACUCACCUGGAAACUGCUACAUUUCCUGUUUCAUUCUGAUUAGAUUGUGUCUCACAGACGCAUACUGCUGAGCCAUUUUUAAAUAAGAUGUUCGCUUAGCACAAUCACCUAAUUAUUUGGAGUUUAGUGCCGUUGUAUUUUUACAUACUCUUUUAGAAUUGAUUUUUGGGCAGGAAAGAAAUUCAAUUGUUCCCCCGCACACCAACAUAUUUUAUACAUGUUGGUUUUUGUGUGCAUAUUACAUUUUUAGAAAAUCAAUUUCUGGCCGUGUGUGUAUUUAUUAAAGUCGAGACAGAAUGUGCGCACUGGAGCUGGAGCCGGAAGGACUUGGCGGGACCUUGCUAACACAAAAUAGACAUUUAUUUUUGUAACAAAGCAAAGCGGUAGGCAAUGUGUCCCAAAGUGCAGAUCCAAAUUUAUCUCUGCCCCACACAAACCCUAAGUCCCCUUGCUGUGUCUGAUUGCAUGAUAUUUGCAGAAGACAAAAGGACUCCUGACACCAAAAAGCGCUUGUGUGUGCAUGUGUGUGUGUGUUUGCACAUUCUGGGUGCAUCUACACAUGUACUUUAAUGUGCAGUAGUCUAUUCUACUGCGCAUUAAAGCGGCAUGUAAAAAACCAUGCUAAUACGCUAAUGCGCAGUAGAAUAAGCUACUGAGAAGUGGUGCUAAAUUUAAUACACAUUACGAUAAGUGCAUUAAUGCACGCGUAGACAUGCCCGCUAUUUCGUAAGGGCCUGAUUCUGCCUUUACUUCUUAAGAGUGGUGCCCACUAUUUCAUAAGGGCCCAAUUUUGCCUUUACUCUUUAAGAGUGGCAUGUAAUUCUGGGAGCAGUUGCAUUCAAUAGUAUUUUCCCUCCUGCUACAACCUGUAAGCAUCCCAGAAAGACCAGGCAUUCACUGGUUGCAGGCAUCCUGCGGGAGGCUUGCUAGGGUUACAGUGCGCGUAGCUACAGAGGCUCUGACUUCGGAAAAGGUAGGGAAGCGCUGUGUCUUUUAUUUCCUGCACAAGAACCACACAGACCAUAGUUGGGUUCCAGAUAACUUUGAUUACUAAAUACACACAAAUAGGUAAAGUUGCUCCCUGGUGGCUCCUCAAACACAGAGCAGAACAAAUAGUGCCGAACGAUUCACAAGCUCUUCAAAGGGAGGCAGUUAUUCCUAAACAUUACAGGUGGUUAAGAGCCCACAGACACUCAGCCGUUGAGUUGGUGUUUUCAAAUCAAGAUGGGAUAUUGUUCUCUAGCAGCUAUGCUGUAGGUUGAACCAGAAUUCAUUUGGGUAAGUCUUAUGAUCUGUGUUAUCCAGGAGGUCAGACUUGCUGAUUGCAGUGGCCUUAUAAUUACUGAAUCACUAAUUCGAUACAUAAGAUGUAGUUCUCCAUGAGCUGUAGGAUCAGUCUGGCCUUACAGGUGUUAUGUUUUCCUCCCAAGAGGCAAGGUUAAAAUAAAACCUCACAGAAGAAGGGAAAAAAUAAAUCCCUCUCAUGCCGACCUCGCUUCUGGGCUGCUGUCACCAUUUGCGUAUCGGGGUCUUGCUUGUACCUUGUUAGCAUUUUCUGUGAGAUGGAAAUGGAGUGCUGAAGCAUGCCUCUUGCGCAAAGUCAUCAAGGGGAGAAGGGCAUGAGUGUCAAACAAAGUAAUGAGUCAUUUGCAGCCGUAUAUAUAAAGAUAUUAACCAAAAAAGCUGCUUUGAAUGCCUUUCUAAUGCCUCUGCAUCCAUCUGUCUCUCCUGGGCGGAGGCACCAUUCUCCGUGCUUAAAGGAUUUGUAAAUUCAUUGCAAACAAGUAAAAUGAAGAAAGCAGAUACGCACACAUGCACAAAAUAAGCAGUGGGGUUUGAUGGGCCAUCUGCUCCUGGGCUGCACCAGUGCAAGCUAAGUACAUUCCUACUACCAGUAAUAGGAGUGUAAACAUGCCAGUAAAACCCAUUGGUGCACUGAUAAUUAAUUAUUUAAUUACACAUGCCGGCAGCUGCAGUGGAACAGGGAAU
Molecule: long non-coding RNA, 6422 nt
Organism: Alligator mississippiensis (American alligator)
Lineage: Eukaryota; Metazoa; Chordata; Crocodylia; Alligatoridae
Exons: 12
Source: RefSeq, a predicted model, not a curated record